AUCCAGCUGAAGAGUCCGAAAUAGAACGAAACUUGCGUCCAACUAGAU
Molecule: non-coding RNA, 48 nt
Organism: Schistosoma haematobium
Lineage: Eukaryota; Metazoa; Platyhelminthes; Trematoda; Strigeidida; Schistosomatidae
Source: Rfam